Molecule: ribosomal RNA, 476 nt
Filed under: Prevotella sp. oral taxon 314
Lineage: Bacteria; Pseudomonadati; Bacteroidota; Bacteroidia; Bacteroidales; Prevotellaceae
Description: bacterial SSU rRNA
Rfam family: Bacterial small subunit ribosomal RNA
Source: RNAcentral
GAUGAACGCUAGCUACAGGCUUAACACAUGCAAGUCGAGGGGAAACGGCAUUGAGUGCUUGCACUCUUUGGACGUCGACCGGCGCACGGGUGAGUAACGCGUAUCCAACCUUCCCAUUACUGUGGGAUAACCUGCCGAAAGGCAGACUAAUACCGCAUAGUCUUCGUUGACGGCAUCAGAUAUGAAGUAAAGAUUUAUCGGUAAUGGAUGGGGAUGCGUCUGAUUAGCUUGUUGGCGGGGUAACGGCCCACCAAGGCUACGAUCAGUAGGGGUUCUGAGAGGAAGGUCCCCCACAUUGGAACUGAGACACGGUCCAAACUCCUACGGGAGGCAGCAGUGAGGAAUAUUGGUCAAUGGACGUAAGUCUGAACCAGCCAAGUAGCGUGCAGGAUGACGGCCCUAUGGGUUGUAAACUGCUUUUGUAUGGGGAUAAAGUCAGUCACGUGUGAUUGUUUGCAGGUACCAUACGAAUAAGG